Molecule: ribosomal RNA, 235 nt
Filed under: uncultured bacterium
Lineage: Bacteria
Description: partial 16S ribosomal RNA
Rfam family: Bacterial small subunit ribosomal RNA
Source: RNAcentral
CGCACGGGUGAGUAACACGUAUCCAACCUGCCGUCUACUCUUGGACAGCCUUCUGAAAGGAAGAUUAAUACAAGAUGGCAUCAUGAGUCCACAUGUUCACAUGAUUAAAGGUAUUCCGGUAGACGAUGGGGAUGCGUUCCAUUAGAUAGUAGGCGGGGUAACGGCCCACCUAGUCUUCGAUGGAUAGGGGUUCUGAGAGGAAGGUCCCCCACAUUGGAACUGAAACACGGUCCAA